CCUAUGAAGCUUUACUGUAACUUGAAAUUGAAAUUGGACUUUAGUCGCGCAGUAUAGGUGGGAGGCGUUGAAAAUAUUCUUGCGGGAAUAUUGGAGCCAUCAGUGAGAUACCACUCUUCUAAUGUUAGAUUUCUAACUCUGUAUCAUUAUCUGGUCAGAGAACAGUUUCAGGCGGGCAGUUUGACUGGGGCGGUCGCCUCCCAAAUGGUAACGGAGGCGUACAAAGGUUUCCUCUGAACGUGUAGAAAUCGUAUCUAGAGUGUAAAGGCAUAAGGAAGCUUGACUGUGAGACUUACAAGUCGAGCAGGGACGAAAGUCGGUCUUAGUGAUCUGACGGUACUGAGUGGAAAGG
RNAcentral lists this ribosomal RNA (352 nucleotides) under Eucampia zodiacus. RNAcentral's name for it is "bacterial LSU rRNA". It matches the Rfam family "Bacterial large subunit ribosomal RNA", at positions 2090 to 2441 of the family's 2925-position model. Lineage: Eukaryota; Bacillariophyta; Thalassiosirophyceae; Eucampiales; Eucampiaceae. The record is from RNAcentral.